AGAUCAAUAACUAUCAGUAUAGAAAUGGAAACACCUUGGAAAAUCUGAACAAAAUGAGUGAGAACUCACUACCGUCUCCUCAUCGAAACUGAGGUCC
Molecule: small nucleolar RNA, 97 nt
Filed under: Cervus hanglu yarkandensis (Yarkand deer)
Lineage: Eukaryota; Metazoa; Chordata; Mammalia; Artiodactyla; Cervidae
Description: Small nucleolar RNA SNORD116 (ENSCHYG00000012134.1)
Rfam family: Small nucleolar RNA SNORD116
About the family: HBII-85 is a member of the C/D class of snoRNAs, which contain the C (UGAUGA) and D (CUGA) box motifs. HBII-85 is encoded in a tandemly repeated array with another C/D snoRNA, HBII-52, in the Prader-Willi syndrome (PWS) region of chromosome 15.
Source: Rfam by way of RNAcentral